GACAUACUAAGAACUUUCCAGAGAUGGAUUGGUGCCUUCGGGAACUUAGAUACAGGUGCUGCAUGGCUGUCGUCAGCUCGUGUCGUGAGAUGUUGGGUUAAGUCCCGCAACGAGCGCAACCCUUUUCCUUAUUUGCCAGCGGGUCAUGCCGGGAACUUUAAGGAUACUGCCAGUGACAAACUGGAGGAAGGCGGGGACGACGUCAAGUCAUCAUGGCCCUUACGGCCAGGGCUACACACGUGCUACAAUGGUCGGUACAAAGGGUUGCUACCUCGCGAGAGGAUGCUAAUCUCAAAAAGCCGAUCGUAGUCCGGAUCGCAGUCUGCAACUCGACUGCGUGAAGUCGGAAUCGCUAGUAAUCGCGGAUCAGAAUGCCGCGGUGAAUACGUUCCCGGGCCUUGUACACACCGCCCGUCACACCAUGGGAGUUUGUUGCAUCAGAAGUAGGUAGUCUAACCGCAAGGAGGACGCUUACCACGGUGUGGCCGAUGACUGGGGUGAAGUCGUAACAAGGUAAGCGUAGAUGA
This 527-nucleotide ribosomal RNA is filed under the name uncultured bacterium. Its description in RNAcentral is "bacterial SSU rRNA". It matches the Rfam family "Bacterial small subunit ribosomal RNA", at positions 983 to 1509 of the family's 1533-position model. The record is from RNAcentral.